AUACGGAGGGGGUUAGCGUUGUUCGGAAUUACUGGGCGUAAAGCGCACGUAGGCGGACUGGAAAGUUGGGGGUGAAAUCCCGGGGCUCAACCCCGGAACUGCCUCCAAAACUUCCAAUCUAGAGAUCGAGAGAGGUGAGUGGAAUUCCAAGUGUAGAGGUGAAAUUCGUAGAUAUUUGGAGGAACACCAGUGGCGAAGGCGGCUCACUGGCUCGAUACUGACGCUGAGGUGCGAAAGCGUGGGGAGCAAACAGGAUUAGAUACCCUAGUAGUAC
RNAcentral lists this ribosomal RNA (274 nucleotides) under uncultured bacterium. RNAcentral describes it as "partial 16S ribosomal RNA". It matches the Rfam family "Bacterial small subunit ribosomal RNA", at positions 523 to 796 of the family's 1533-position model. The record is from RNAcentral.